RNAcentral lists this ribosomal RNA (1175 nucleotides) under Klebsiella pneumoniae. Its description in RNAcentral is "bacterial LSU rRNA". It matches the Rfam family "Bacterial large subunit ribosomal RNA", at positions 1762 to 2925 of the family's 2925-position model. The record is from RNAcentral. Lineage: Bacteria; Pseudomonadati; Pseudomonadota; Gammaproteobacteria; Enterobacterales; Enterobacteriaceae.
UGGAGCUGAGACCAGUCGAAGAUACCAGCUGGCUGCAACUGUUUAUUAAAAACACAGCACUGUGCAAACACGAAAGUGGACGUAUACGGUGUGACGCCUGCCCGGUGCCGGAAGGUUAAUUGAUGGGGUUAUCCGUAAGGAGAAGCUCUUGAUCGAAGCCCCGGUAAACGGCGGCCGUAACUAUAACGGUCCUAAGGUAGCGAAAUUCCUUGUCGGGUAAGUUCCGACCUGCACGAAUGGCGUAAUGAUGGCCAGGCUGUCUCCACCCGAGACUCAGUGAAAUUGAACUCGCUGUGAAGAUGCAGUGUACCCGCGGCAAGACGGAAAGACCCCGUGAACCUUUACUAUAGCUUGACACUGAACAUUGAGCCUUGAUGUGUAGGAUAGGUGGGAGGCUUUGAAGCGUGGACGCCAGUCUGCGUGGAGCCAACCUUGAAAUACCACCCUUUAAUGUUUGAUGUUCUAACGUUGGCCCCUUACCGGGGUUGCGGACAGUGUCUGGUGGGUAGUUUGACUGGGGCGGUCUCCUCCCAAAGCGUAACGGAGGAGCACGAAGGUUAGCUAAUCCUGGUCGGACAUCAGGAGGUUAGUGCAAUGGCAUAAGCUAGCUUGACUGCGAGCGUGACGGCGCGAGCAGGUGCGAAAGCAGGUCAUAGUGAUCCGGUGGUUCUGAAUGGAAGGGCCAUCGCUCAACGGAUAAAAGGUACUCCGGGGAUAACAGGCUGAUACCGCCCAAGAGUUCAUAUCGACGGCGGUGUUUGGCACCUCGAUGUCGGCUCAUCACAUCCUGGGGCUGAAGUAGGUCCCAAGGGUAUGGCUGUUCGCCAUUUAAAGUGGUACGCGAGCUGGGUUUAGAACGUCGUGAGACAGUUCGGUCCCUAUCUGCCGUGGGCGCUGGAGAAUUGAGGGGGGCUGCUCCUAGUACGAGAGGACCGGAGUGGACGCAUCACUGGUGUUCGGGUUGUCAUGCCAAUGGCACUGCCCGGUAGCUAAAUGCGGAAGAGAUAAGUGCUGAAAGCAUCUAAGCACGAAACUUGCCCCGAGAUGAGUUCUCCCUGAGACUUUAAGUCUCCUGAAGGAACGUUNNNNNNNNNNNNNGACGUUGAUAGGCCGGGUGUGUAAGCGCAGCGAUGCGUUGAGCUAACCGGUACUAAUGAACCGUGAGGCUUAACCUU